Molecule: ribosomal RNA, 216 nt
Filed under: Glomeromycotina sp.
Lineage: Eukaryota; Fungi; Glomeromycota
Description: partial small subunit ribosomal RNA
Rfam family: Eukaryotic small subunit ribosomal RNA (bases 40-216)
Source: RNAcentral
GGGUCAGUAGGUUGGUCGUGCCACCGGUACGUACUGGCCUCACUGAUUCCUCCUUCCUGAAGAACCGUAAUGCCAUUAAUUUGGUGUUGCGGGGAAACAGGACUGUUACUUUGAAAAAAUUAGAGUGUUUAAAGCAAGCUAACGCUUGAAUACAUUAGCAUGGAAUAAUGAAAUAGGACGAUCGAUCCUAUUUUAUUGGUUUCUAGGAUUGACGUA